UCUCGAUGAUGUAAUUCCAAUAGAUCCUUCUGACCCUCCGUUGUGGACUCAGUAGCGGGAGAUGAAGAGGACCAUGGCUGAGAGA
Small nucleolar RNA from Echinops telfairi (small Madagascar hedgehog), 85 nucleotides. Lineage: Eukaryota; Metazoa; Chordata; Mammalia; Afrosoricida; Tenrecidae. The record is from Ensembl.